RNAcentral lists this signal recognition particle RNA (298 nucleotides) under Saimiri boliviensis boliviensis (Bolivian squirrel monkey). RNAcentral describes it as "Metazoan signal recognition particle RNA (ENSSBOG00000006664.1)". It matches the Rfam family "Metazoan signal recognition particle RNA". From Rfam's summary of the family: The signal recognition particle (SRP) is a universally conserved ribonucleoprotein. It is involved in the co-translational targeting of proteins to membranes. Lineage: Eukaryota; Metazoa; Chordata; Mammalia; Primates; Cebidae. The record is from RNAcentral.
GCCAGGCAUGGUGGUGCAUGCCUGUAGUCCCAGCUACUUGGGAGGCUGAGGCUGGAGGAUCGCUUGAGUCUAGGAGUUCUGGGCUUCAGUGCACUAUGCCAGUCAAGUGUCUGCACUAAGUUUGGCAUCAAUAUGGUGACCUCCUGAGACAGGGGACCACCAGGUUGCCUAAGGAGGGGUGAACUGGCCCAGGUCAGAAAUGGAGCAGGUCAAAACUCCCUUGCUGAUCAGUAGUAGAAUCAUACCUGUGAAUAGCCACUGAACUCUAGCCUGGGCAACACAUUGAGACCCCAUCUCU